GUUGGAUAUGGUACAUUCGGCAACAAAAUCAGCUAGGACUUGUGCCUUCAUGGACAGUCGUGGGCGAUAUUGAAUGUUGAAUUCACCAAGCUUUACUGCCCACUUUGCCAUCCGACCUGACGUGUCAGGUCGAUGUAAGAUUGCCUUCAGCGGCUGAUCUGUCAAAAGUAUAAUUUGAUGGGCUUGGAAGUAUGGACGAAGUCGUUGUGCUGAUAUAAUUAGGACGUAGAUUAUUUUCUUUGCCCUUGAGUAUCGAACUUCGGUAUUGUGAAGUAC
RNAcentral lists this long non-coding RNA (276 nucleotides) under Elaeis guineensis (African oil palm). RNAcentral's name for it is "long non-coding RNA (EGUI_LNC005137)". The record is from RNAcentral. Lineage: Eukaryota; Viridiplantae; Streptophyta; Magnoliopsida; Arecales; Arecaceae.